This 165-nucleotide non-coding RNA is filed under the name Trichobilharzia regenti. RNAcentral's name for it is "Eukaryotic large subunit ribosomal RNA". It matches the Rfam family "Eukaryotic large subunit ribosomal RNA", at positions 2181 to 2327 of the family's 3401-position model. Lineage: Eukaryota; Metazoa; Platyhelminthes; Trematoda; Strigeidida; Schistosomatidae. The record is from Rfam by way of RNAcentral.
AUGACGCAAUGUGAUUUCUGCCCAGUGCUCUGAAUGUCAAAGUGAAGAAAUUCAACCAAGCGCGAGUAAAUGGCGGGAGUAACUAUGACUCUCUUGUACCAAUGAUUUUGUCAACCCUACAGUAUACAUAUAAUGCAUGUGACUUCCUUUUCAUGAAAUGAAAAA